RNAcentral lists this ribosomal RNA (450 nucleotides) under uncultured bacterium. Its description in RNAcentral is "partial 16S ribosomal RNA". It matches the Rfam family "Bacterial small subunit ribosomal RNA", at positions 338 to 795 of the family's 1533-position model. The record is from RNAcentral.
CCUACGGGCGGCAGCAGUAGGGAAUCUUCCGCAAUGGACGAAAGUCUGACGGAGCAACGCCGCGUGAGUGAAGAAGGUUUUCGGAUCGUAAAACUCUGUUGUCAGAGAAGAACAAGUUGGAGAGUAACUGCUCCAGCCUUGACGGUAUCUGACCAGAAAGCCACGGCUAACUACGUGCCAGCAGCCGCGGUAAUACGUAGGUGGCAAAUUUUGUCCGGAUUUAUUGCAGGUAGUUCGAGAGCACGGAUGUGAAAGCCAACGGCUCAACCGUGGAAGGUCAUUGGAAACUGGGGAACUUGAGUGCAGAAGAGGAGAGUGGAAUUCCAUGUGUAGCGGUGAAAUGCGUAGAUAUAUGGAGGAACACCAGUGGCGAAGGCGACUCUCUGGUCUGUAACUGACGCUGAGGCUCGAAAGCGUGGGGAGCAAACAGGAUUAGAUACCCUUGUAGUC